RNAcentral lists this ribosomal RNA (252 nucleotides) under uncultured bacterium. RNAcentral's name for it is "partial 16S ribosomal RNA". It matches the Rfam family "Bacterial small subunit ribosomal RNA", at positions 524 to 776 of the family's 1533-position model. The record is from RNAcentral.
UACGUAGGUCCCGAGCGUUGUCCGGAUUUAUUGGGCGUAAAGCGAGCGCAGGUGGUUUAUUAAGUCUGGUGUGAAAGGCAGUAGCUCAACCAUUGUAUGCAUUGGAAACUGGUAGACUUGAGUGCAGGAGAGGAGAGUGGAAUUCCAUGUGUAGCGGUGAAAUGCGUAGAUAUAUGGAGGAACACCGGUGGCGAAAGCGGCUCUCUGGCCUGUAACUGACACUGAGGCUCGAAAGCGUGGGGAGCAAACAGG